UACGUAGGGUGCAAGCGUUGUCCGGAAUUAUUGGGCGUAAAGAGCUCGUAGGCGGCUUGUUGCGUCGGCUGUGAAAUCCCGAGGCUCAACCUCGGGUCUGCAGUCGAUACGAGCAAACUAGAGUGUUGCAGGGGAGACUGGAAUUCCUGGUGUAGCGGUGAAAUGCGCAGAUAUCUGGAAGAACACCAGUGGCGAAGGCGGUCAACUGGCCCAUAACUGACGCUCAGGCACGAAAGCGUGGGUAGCGAACAGG
Molecule: ribosomal RNA, 253 nt
Filed under: uncultured bacterium
Lineage: Bacteria
Description: partial 16S ribosomal RNA
Rfam family: Bacterial small subunit ribosomal RNA
Source: RNAcentral